AUUGAACGCUGGCGGCAGGCUUAACACAUGCAAGUCGAACGAGUGGCGGACUGGUGAGUAAUGCUUGGGCAUCUAGCUUAUGGAGGGGGAUAACUACGGGAAACCUUAGCUAAUACCGCGUACCAUAGGAUGAGCCCACGUGGGAUUAGGGAGUGGGUGAGGUAAAGGCUCACCAAGCCGACGAUGUCUAGCUGGUCUGAGAGGAUGACCGGCUACACUGGGACUGAGACCCGGCCCAGACUCCUACGGGAGGCAGCAUUGGGGAAUAUUGCGCAAUGGGGGAAACCUGACUGAGCCAUGCCGCGGGAAUGAAGAAGGCCUUCGGGUUGUAAAAUUCUUUCGGUAGAGAGGCGUUAACUACAGAAGAAGCACCGGCUAACUCCGUGCCAGCCGCCGCGGUAAUUC
RNAcentral lists this ribosomal RNA (405 nucleotides) under uncultured bacterium. Its description in RNAcentral is "partial 16S ribosomal RNA". It matches the Rfam family "Bacterial small subunit ribosomal RNA", at positions 30 to 526 of the family's 1533-position model. The record is from RNAcentral.